GACGAACGCUGGCGGCGUGCUUAACACAUGCAAGUCGAGCGGUAAGGCCCUUUCGGGGGUACACGAGCGGCGAACGGGUGAGUAACGCGUGGGUGACCUGCCCUCAGCUCUGGGAUAAGCCUGGGAAACCGGGUCUAAUACUGGAUAUGACUCCAUGACGCAUGUUGUGGGGUGGAAAGCCUUGUGCGGCUGAGGAUGGGCCCGCGGCCUAUCAGCUUGUUGGUGGGGGAUGGCCUACCAAGGCGACGACGGGUAGCCGGCCUGAGAGGGCGACCGGCCACACUGGGACUGAGACACGGCCCAGACUCCUACGGGAGGCAGCAGUGGGGAAUCUUGCGCAAUGGGCGAAAGCCUGACGCAGCGACGCCGCGUGAGGGAUGACGGCCU
RNAcentral lists this ribosomal RNA (387 nucleotides) under uncultured bacterium. Its description in RNAcentral is "bacterial SSU rRNA". It matches the Rfam family "Bacterial small subunit ribosomal RNA", at positions 28 to 417 of the family's 1533-position model. The record is from RNAcentral.